RNAcentral lists this ribosomal RNA (505 nucleotides) under uncultured bacterium. Its description in RNAcentral is "partial 16S ribosomal RNA". It matches the Rfam family "Bacterial small subunit ribosomal RNA", at positions 28 to 523 of the family's 1533-position model. The record is from RNAcentral.
GAUGAACGCUAGCUACAGGCUUAACACAUGCAAGUCGAGGGGUAACGAGAGGAAAGCUUGCUUUCCUUGUCGACGACCGGCGCACGGGUGAGUAACGCGUAUCCAACCUGCCCCCAACUAGGGAAUAACCUUGCGAAAGUAAGACUAAUACCCUAUAAUUUCCUCAGAUGCCAUCUGACGAGGAAUAAAGAUUUAUCGGUUGUGGAUGGGGAUGCGUCUGAUUAGCUUGUUGGCGGGGUAACGGCCCACCAAGGCAACGAGCAGUAGGGGUUCUGAGCGGAAGGUCCCCCACAUUGGAACUGAGACACGGUCCAAACUCCUACGGGAGGCAGCAGUGAGGAAUAUUGGUCAAUGGGCGGAAGCCUGAACCAGCCAAGUAGCGUGCAGGAUGACGGCCCUAUGGGUUGUAAACUGCUUUUAUACAGGAAUAAAGUUAGCGCGUGUGGUUAUUUGUAGGUACUGUAUGAAUAAGGACCGGCUAAUUCCGUGCCAGCAGCCGCCGCCG